GACGAACGCUGGCGGCGUGCUUAACACAUGCAAGUCGAACGGAAAGGCCCUGCUUUUGUGGGGUGCUCGAGUGGCGAACGGGUGAGUAACACGUGAGUAACCUGCCCUUGACUUUGGGAUAACUUCGGGAAACUGGGGCUAAUACCGGAUAGGAGCUCCUGCUGCAUGGUGGGGGUUGGAAAGUUUCGGCGGUUGGGGAUGGACUCGCGGCUUAUCAGCUUGUUGGUGGGGUAGUGGCUUACCAAGGCUUUGACGGGUAGCCGGCCUGAGAGGGUGACCGGCCACGAGGCGAGGGUGGUACCACGCCUGCCCGGAGGGGGGGCAGGGUGGGGAGUUGUGCGACAGUGGGCGGCAGCGGGGGGCCGCAAGGGCGGGUGUGGGAGGAGGGCCGUCGGGUGGUCACCCGCUCGGCCGUGGGGCGAGGGGUGGGAGGGGGUGAGGGGUAACAGAGCGCCGGCCAAGCACGGGACAGAGCGGGCGGUGGUAGACGGAAGAGCCCCCGCUUGACC
RNAcentral lists this ribosomal RNA (509 nucleotides) under uncultured bacterium. RNAcentral's name for it is "partial 16S ribosomal RNA". The stretch from base 20 to 329 matches the Rfam family "Bacterial small subunit ribosomal RNA", at positions 47 to 358 of the family's 1533-position model. The record is from RNAcentral.